Molecule: ribosomal RNA, 253 nt
Filed under: uncultured bacterium
Lineage: Bacteria
Description: partial 16S ribosomal RNA
Rfam family: Bacterial small subunit ribosomal RNA
Source: RNAcentral
GACGAACCGUGCGAACGUUGUUCGGAAUCACUGGGCUUAAAGGGCGCGUAGGCGGUUCUCCAAGUCAGGGGUGAAAUCCUGCGGCUUAACCGUAGAAGUGCCUUUGAUACUGGAGAUCUUGAGGGAGGUAGGGGUCCGUGGAACUUCUGGUGGAGCGGUGAAAUGCGUUGAUAUCAGAAGGAACGCCGGUGGCGGAAGCGACGGACUGGAUCUCUUCUGACGCUGAGGCGCGAAAGCUAGGGGAGCAAACGGG